CUCUCACUGUUCUAGAAAUACUCCCAUUAGCCUAUGAUCUUUGCUUUGGCAUGGAGUCUGAUGACACAUUGAUACCAUUUUCUGCCUGUUAACCUACCAAAGGACACAAAACCCUCUUCAUUUCCCUAGAAGUACAUGUAAUAUUUCAAAAUGUAUCACGGGGCACAGCCAUCCCAGGAAAAAGAUGUAAGGUAAUGAGAUAACGUGAAGAAUUCUAGGCACUGAAACUCAAUUCUGGUGGUGAUUUUAGUCUGAGGAAACACAACAAAGGCCAAGAAGAAUGGGAUCGUCAUGACUGGCUGGGAAAUGAAUCAUGGGCAGCCCAGACGCAGGGCUUUGAUCAGUCCAGCUUCCUCCUCCUAAGAAGUUUCCACCAGAACAUUGCUUGGUGACAUAGUGGUCUUCACCCUGAGCGUCUACAAAUGUAUGUUAAGUUGCUAUUAAGGACCUGUGGACAGAGAAGGCACACCACCACAGAUACUAUAUUUUCUACAAAUUGAAGAUUUGUGGCAAACCUGCAUUGACCAAGUCUAUCGGCACGAUUUUACCAACAACAUAUGCUCACUUGGUGUCUCUUUGUCACA
RNAcentral lists this long non-coding RNA (584 nucleotides) under Homo sapiens (human). Its description in RNAcentral is "HSALNT0307438". The record is from RNAcentral. Lineage: Eukaryota; Metazoa; Chordata; Mammalia; Primates; Hominidae.